Molecule: unclassified non-coding RNA, 534 nt
Filed under: Puccinellia phryganodes
Lineage: Eukaryota; Viridiplantae; Streptophyta; Magnoliopsida; Poales; Poaceae
Description: partial external transcribed spacer
Source: RNAcentral
GUGUCUGNCGGUAGAUCCCCCGUUUUUGUGCGGCCGACUACCGGCGCCGUGUCCCGUCGUUCCUGUGGCUUUGUGUUACCGUUGCCUUUCAAGUGCUUGCGUGCUGGUACCUGAACUAAGGGAAUUGGUGCUACGUACAUGUUGCCUCGCGGUGGACGCCUUCGGGUGUGCUGCUGCGGCCAAAUGGCGSUUGCGGCGUUGCCUCGUUACGCUGCCACGUUUACGUGGUUGUUGUUAUCAAGGCAACCUCGCUCCUGCUGUUGGUCUUGGAUGUUGCCCACGAUGAAGUCUCAUGGCCCUUUUUGGUUGCCUAGACCCGACCCUAAGAAGCUCUCCGAAUUGAGAACAACCGGAACAGGUGUUGCCUCUACGUAUUCCGCAGUUAGUGGUAUGAUACGCAACAUUUUGCGCCGAUCCUCAAAUAAGUAGGACGAGCUUAGCCCGCUCAAUUGUGACAUCCGGCCCGGGGACCGCUUCUGGCUUGACACGCAAGUGGACGGACGGACGACUCCCGACGCUGGACGUCAACAAGGA